GACUGCCCUAUGGGUUGUAAACUGCUUUUAUACGGGAAGAAACCCAUCUACGUGUAGAUGGCUGACGGUACCGUAAGAAUAAGCAUCGGCUAACUCCGUGCCAGCAGCCGCGGUAAUACGGAGGAUGCAAGCGUUAUCCGGAAUCAUUGGGUUUAAAGGGUCCGUAGGUGGAUUAGUAAGUCAGAGGUGAAAGCCUGCAGCUCAACUGUAGAACUGCCUUUGAUACUGCUAGUCUUGAAUUAUUGUGAAGUGGUUAGAAUAUGUAGUGUAGCGGUGAAAUGCAUAGAUAUUACAUAGAAUACCAAUUGCGAAGGCAGAUCACUAACAAUAUAUUGACACUGAUGGACGAAAGCGUGGGGAGCGAACGGGAUUAGAUACCCCGGUAGUCCACGCCGUAAACGAUGGUCACUAGCUGUUCGGAUUUCGGUCUGAGUGGCUAAGCGAAAGUGAUAAGUGACCCACCUGGGGAGUACGUUCGCAAGAAUGAAAC
RNAcentral lists this ribosomal RNA (490 nucleotides) under Lacinutrix sp. Gi-10. RNAcentral's name for it is "bacterial SSU rRNA". It matches the Rfam family "Bacterial small subunit ribosomal RNA", at positions 410 to 900 of the family's 1533-position model. Lineage: Bacteria; Pseudomonadati; Bacteroidota; Flavobacteriia; Flavobacteriales; Flavobacteriaceae. The record is from RNAcentral.